GUUUAGGGAUAUCCUUAUCUACUAUUUAGGAAUUAGUUUAAUUUUGGUGACGAUACUCCCUGCUAGCCGCCCAUCUGGGAAACUGUGUUUUUUAUCCCAUGAGCCGUACAUUUGUAUAUUGAGCUUUCUCGUUAAUCUCAGUGAUCAUACUCUUAGAUAGCCGCUCUUUCCCCUUUCCCUAGCUCUGAGCAUCUAAGUGACCGUACUCUAACCACUCAUAAGACCAUUGGGAAGUAUAUUUAUCUACCUAUAGGCUGGCGAAUGGGGUGUUUGUAUCGAUACAUGGUACACUGAUCUACCGAGUUUCUCCUCCUUCACCAUAUUUAGCUACUCAGCUUAGAGUGCUAGUGGCUGCUUUAGAAUCUAUUUUUAGUUUAUGGUCCUUACGGGGUUAACUCAGACGGCUUAUGGUGCAAUAUUAUAGAUACUUACGUUUCUCUUUUUGUAUGUCCGGCUGGACCAACCAUAUUACCCGUCUCGUUUACAGUAAGGCACUAUUGUGCUCAUCGUUGGAGAAUCGGAGGGAGCGCUGUAAUUGGGGCUUAGAACUUCAGUAACGGCUAGUAUUCCAACUUAUGACAUUAGUUUGGCUUUAUACUGCCGCUGUUCCCCCCAUGGGCUCCCCUAUAACCCCUAUAUAUGACUUACAUACAGAGAUUACCCUCAAUGGACAACACGUAUAUGUGCAAUAGUAGCACGUUGUUUCACUAAGGGCUAUAUUGUUAUCUAUUACUGAAUUAGGAUACAUUGUAUUUCUCAGGUCUCAUGCUCUUUAUCUCAUAUUGCCGGCUACAGAGACACUUGGUAAUUAAAAGCUACUGACAACGGCCAAUAUAGGUAACUUUAGGUACUGCAGGAUUACUACAUUUAUUGUAGACUAACGGAUGUUCCUUUGUAUUUUAAUAUAUUUUUUUGUAAAUAGCACUGUAUUUAUAUUCCCUACACUGGUUACAACUGGGUUUCUGGUUGUUCUUUUCUUUCCCCAAGAGGGACCAAUAAAGAUUUAUGUUUUUUAGUUCUAUUUAUGCUCCAUGACUAGCAGCUCUUUGCUCUAUACUAGUGGAGCAGCUAUAUUUGGGGUAUAGAGACUGUAUUUGGGAGCACUUGUUUAGUUAACCCAUUCCAGCCUCUUCACCAAUGGUAUUAACAUAUGGACAUAUUUAUUUUACCCUCUUGCAGUUUAUCCAGCAGUUGACAAGUGCUGCUGUAAGCUGGAGAAACUACAAGGGAGUAAAAUAAAUAUGCUCAUAUAUUAAUCCUCUAAGAUCCUCUAUAUGCUUUGUGCC
This is a non-coding RNA of Pelobates cultripes (western spadefoot toad), 1286 nucleotides long. The record is from the annotation of a GenBank genome assembly. Lineage: Eukaryota; Metazoa; Chordata; Amphibia; Anura; Pelobatidae.